RNAcentral lists this ribosomal RNA (465 nucleotides) under uncultured bacterium. RNAcentral describes it as "partial 16S ribosomal RNA". It matches the Rfam family "Bacterial small subunit ribosomal RNA", at positions 28 to 507 of the family's 1533-position model. The record is from RNAcentral.
GACGAACGCUGGCGGCGUGCUUAACACAUGCAAGUCGAACGGAAAGGCCCUGCUUGCAGGGUACUCGAGUGGCGAACGGGUGAGUAACACGUGGGUGAUCUGCCCUGCACUUCGGGAUAAGCCUGGGAAACUGGGUCGAAUACCGGAUAGGAGCCAUUUUGAGUGUGAGGGUGGGAAAGUUUUUUGGGUGUAGGAGGAGCUCGCGGCCUAUCAGCUUGUUGGUGGGGUAAUGGCCUACCAAGGCGGAGACGGGUAGCCGGCCUGGGAGGGUGGACGGCCACAUUGGGACUGAGAUACGGCCCAGACCCCUAAGGGAGGCAGAGGUGGGGAAUAUUGCACAAUGGGCGCAAGCCUGAUGCAGGGACGCCGCGUGGGGGAUGACGGCCUUCGGGUUGUAAAAUCCUUUCGCUAGGGACGAAGCUUUUUGUGACGGUACCUAGAUAAGAAGCACCGGCUAACUACGUG